CCUACGGGAUGCAGCAGUGAGGAAUAUUGGUCAAUGGGCGCGAGCCUGAACCAGCCAAGUAGCGUGAAGGAUGACUGCCCUACGGGUUGUAAACUUCUUUUAUACAGGAAUAAAGUGAGGCACGUGUGCCUUUUUGUAUGUACUUUAUGAAUAAGGACCGGCUAACUCAGUGCCAGCAGCCGCGGUAAUACGGAGGCUCCGCGCGUGAUCCGGAUUUCUUGGGUUUAAAGGGAAAGUAGAUGGGUUGUUAAGCAUGUUGUGAAAGUGUGCGGCUCAACCGUACAAUUGCAAUUCAUACUGGCAGCCUUGAGGACAGUUGAGGUAGGCGGAAUUCGUGGUGUAGCGGUGAAAUGCUUAGAUAUCACGAAGAACUCCGAUUGCGAAGGCAGCCUACUAAACUGCCACUGACAUUGAUGCUCGAAAGUGUGGGUAUCGAACAGGAUUAGAUACCCCUGUAGUC
Molecule: ribosomal RNA, 460 nt
Filed under: uncultured bacterium
Lineage: Bacteria
Description: partial 16S ribosomal RNA
Rfam family: Bacterial small subunit ribosomal RNA
Source: RNAcentral